This 1369-nucleotide ribosomal RNA is filed under the name uncultured bacterium. RNAcentral describes it as "bacterial SSU rRNA". It matches the Rfam family "Bacterial small subunit ribosomal RNA", at positions 28 to 1381 of the family's 1533-position model. The record is from RNAcentral.
GACGAACGCUGGCGGCGUGCCUAAUACAUGCAAGUAGAACGCUGAAGAGAGGAGCUUGCUCUUCUUGGAUGAGUUGCGAACGGGUGAGUAACGCGUAGGUAACCUGCCUUGUAGCGGGGGAUAACUAUUGGAAACGAUAGCUAAUACCGCAUAACAAUGGAUGACACAUGUCAUUUAUUUGAAAGGGGCAAUUGUUCCACUACAAGAUGGACCUGCGUUGUAUUAGCUAGUAGGUGAGGUAAUGGCUCACCUAGGCGACGAUACAUAGCCGACCUGAGAGGGUGAUCGGCCACACUGGGACUGAGACACGGCCCAGACUCCUACGGGAGGCAGCAGUAGGGAAUCUUCGGCAAUGGGGGCAACCCUGACCGAGCAACGCCGCGUGAGUGAAGAAGGUUUUCGGAUCGUAAAGCUCUGUUGUAAGUCAAGAACGGGUGUGAGAGUGGAAAGUUCACACUGUGACGGUAGCUUACCAGAAAGGGACGGCUAACUACGUGCCAGCAGCCGCGGUAAUACGUAGGUCCCGAGCGUUGUCCGGAUUUAUUGGGCGUAAAGCGAGCGCAGACGGUUUGAUAAGUCUGAAGUUAAAGGCUGUGGCUCAACCAUAGUUCGCUUUGGAAACUGUCAAACUUGAGUGCAGAAGGGGAGAGUGGAAUUCCAUGUGUAGCGGUGAAAUGCGUAGAUAUAUGGAGGAACACCGGUGGCGAAAGCGGCUCUCUGGUCUGUAACUGACGCUGAGGCUCGAAAGCGUGGGGAGCGAACAGGAUUAGAUACCCUGGUAGUCCACGCCGUAAACGAUGAGUGCUAGGUGUUGGAUCCUUUCCGGGAUUCAGUGCCGCAGCUAACGCAUUAAGCACUCCGCCUGGGGAGUACGACCGCAAGGUUGAAACUCAAAGGAAUUGACGGGGGCCCGCACAAGCGGUGGAGCAUGUGGUUUAAUCCGAAGCAACGCGAAGAACCUUACCAGGUCUUGACAUCCCGAUGCUAUUUCUAGAGAUAGAAAGUUACUUCGGUACAUCGGUGACAGGUGGUGCAUGGUUGUCGUCAGCUCGUGUCGUGAGAUGUUGGGUUAAGUCCCGCAACGAGCGCAACCCCUAUUGUUAGUUGCCAUCAUUCAGUUGGGCACUCUAGCGAGACUGCCGGUAAUAAACCGGAGGAAGGUGGGGAUGACGUCAAAUCAUCAUGCCCCUUAUGACCUGGGCUACACACGUGCUACAAUGGUUGGUACAACGAGUUGCGAGUCGGUGACGGCGAGCUAAUCUCUUAAAGCCAAUCUCAGUUCGGAUUGUAGGCUGCAACUCGCCUACAUGAAGUCGGAAUCGCUAGUAAUCGCGGAUCAGCACGCCGCGGUGAAUACGUUCCCGGGCCU